Molecule: long non-coding RNA, 597 nt
Filed under: Sarcophilus harrisii (Tasmanian devil)
Lineage: Eukaryota; Metazoa; Chordata; Mammalia; Dasyuromorphia; Dasyuridae
Description: lncRNA (ENSSHAG00000021919.1)
Source: RNAcentral
AAAGCUGCUAUGUGAGUCAAACCAGGCCCAGAACUCCCCCUGCCUUAAUCAAGAAGGAACAGAUUCAUUCAUUCUCUGUCAUUCACCCAAGAUUCAUCUUCAAAGUCCACUGGAUUCUAAAAAUCUCAAAGCAAAUGGGAAAGUGUCCCACUGGUUUAGAAAUGGAAUUGGAAGCCUGCAGGAGAAAGCAAGGAUUUUUAUUGUAGGUAAGUUUUUGGUUGUUGUUGGUUUUUUUUUUUUAGUUCUUCUCUUCUUUCCCACUAUGGACUUCACAUUUCUUCUCAAGGUUUACAUAUGAUUCACAUUAAUUAAUUCAGCAGAGCCAGUUGGAGUUCAGUUUCUGAACUUUGCUACAAGGAGAAAAGUCCCUCAACUCUUCAUUCACAAUAUUCAUCUUUCUUUUUAUCUUUGAGCAUGGAAAUCACCAAAAUUUUGGUCACAUGAACCCUGGAUACUCUCAUCUGAAAGGGGGCGGGUUUUAUAGAUCUCAAACUUGGUGACCUUUUUCUUCCAAGAUUUUACCAAGCUUGUGAUUUUGAAUAUUGAAUUAAAAAGUCAAUUUGUAAAAAGUCUUUUUACAAUUUACAAUUCCUAAUC